CAAGUCGAACGGAAAUAGAGGAGCUUGCUCCUCUUGAUUAGUGGCGAACGGGUGAGUAACACGUGGGCAACCUGCCCCUGACUCUGGGAUAACUACUCGAAAGAGUAGCUAAUACCGGAUAUGAAACCUGAAGACAUCUUCGGGUUUGGAAAGUUUUUCGGUCAGGGAUGGGCCCGCGGCCUAUCAGCUAGUUGGUGAGGUAGUGGCUCACCAAGGCGACGACGGGUAGCCGGCCUGAGAGGGCGACCGGCCACACUGGGACUGAGACACGGCCCAGACUCC
Molecule: ribosomal RNA, 282 nt
Filed under: unidentified marine bacterioplankton
Lineage: Bacteria
Also listed under: 1 other name
Description: partial 16S ribosomal RNA
Rfam family: Bacterial small subunit ribosomal RNA
Source: RNAcentral